GCACAAGCGGAGGAACAUGUGGUUUAAUUCGAUGAUACGCGAGGAACCUUACCUGGGCUUAAAUGUAGAGUGCAUUUUUUAGAGAUAGAAAUUCCCUUCGGGCUUUCUGCAAGGUGCUGCAUGGUUGUCGUCAGCUCGUGCCGUGAGGUGUCGGGUUAAGUCCCAUAACGAGCGCAACCCUUAUCGUUAGUUGCCAUCUGGUAAUGCAGGGGACUCUAGCGAAACUGCCACCGUAAGGUGAGAGGAAGGUGGGGAUGACGUCAAAUCAGCACGGCCCUUAUGUCCAGGGCUACACACGUGUUACAAUGGUCGGUACAGAGGGCAGCUACCUGGUGACAGGAUGCUAAUCUCGAAAACCGGUCUCAGUUCGGAUCGAAGUCUGCAACUCGACUUCGUGAAGCUGGAUUCGCUAGUAAUCGCGCAUCAGCUAUGGCGCGGUGAAUACGUUCCCGGGCCUU
RNAcentral lists this ribosomal RNA (458 nucleotides) under uncultured Sphingobacteriales bacterium. RNAcentral's name for it is "bacterial SSU rRNA". It matches the Rfam family "Bacterial small subunit ribosomal RNA", at positions 923 to 1382 of the family's 1533-position model. Lineage: Bacteria; Pseudomonadati; Bacteroidota; Sphingobacteriia; Sphingobacteriales. The record is from RNAcentral.